Sphaerobolus stellatus SS14 is the source of this 90-nucleotide non-coding RNA. NCBI's taxonomy places the organism in Eukaryota, Fungi, Basidiomycota, Agaricomycetes, Geastrales, Sphaerobolaceae. The record is from the annotation of a GenBank genome assembly.
UCUUUAGUGGUAUAGCGGUUAGUAUUUGUGCCUGUCAUGAGCCUUAACUUGAGAUUGCGUGAGACCAGUGUUCAAUUCCCUGCUUGAGGA